UUAUCGACCACGUUGGGAGGAAGAAACUUGCCAUUUCGAGCUUAUCUGGUGUAAUAGUAGCACUUGCCAUUCUUUCUGGGGCAUUCAUUGCUGGCCAAUCUAGUUCAACAGAUGGUCUGCAUGGAUGGAUUGCAGUAAUUGGAUUGGCUCUCUACAUUGCUUUCUUUUCCCCUGGGAUGGGACCAGUACCGUGGACUGUGAACUCUGAGAUAUACCCCGAGGCUUAUCGAGGGAUAUGUGGUGGUAUGUCAGCAACAGUCAAUUGGGUUUCAAAUUUGAUUGUGGCUCAAACAUUUCUUUCGCUUGCUGAAGUAGCUGGAACUGGUCCAACCUUCCUCAUCCUUGCAGGCAUAGCCGUGCUCGCAGUCCUGUUUGUUGUCAUGUAUGUUCCUGAGACACAGGGACUGACAUUUGAGGAGGUGGAGAGGAA
This 430-nucleotide unclassified non-coding RNA is filed under the name Hevea brasiliensis (rubber tree). Lineage: Eukaryota; Viridiplantae; Streptophyta; Magnoliopsida; Malpighiales; Euphorbiaceae. The record is from RNAcentral.